Molecule: unclassified non-coding RNA, 331 nt
Filed under: soil metagenome
Description: partial contains 5.8S ribosomal RNA, internal transcribed spacer 2, and large subunit ribosomal RNA
Rfam family: 5.8S ribosomal RNA (bases 1-120)
Source: RNAcentral
GAUGAAGAACGUAGUGAAAUGCGAUAAGUAGUGUGAAUUGCAGAAUUCAGUGAAUCAACGAAUCUUUGAACGCACAUUGCGCCCUUUGGUAUUCCUUAGGGCAUGCCUGUUCGAGCGUCAUUUAAACCUUCAAGCUAAGCUUGGUGUUGGGUGACUGUCCGCUUCACUGCGGACUCGCCUCAAAAUUAUUGGCGGCCGGUACAUUGGCUUCGAGCGCAGCAGAAACGCGAACUCGGGCCCGUCGUAUUGGCUCCAGAAGCUAUCUUCACAAUUUUGACCUCGGAUCAGGUAGGGAUACCCGCUGAACUUAAGCAUAUCAAUAAGCGGAGGA